This 468-nucleotide ribosomal RNA is filed under the name uncultured bacterium. RNAcentral describes it as "partial 16S ribosomal RNA". It matches the Rfam family "Bacterial small subunit ribosomal RNA", at positions 28 to 507 of the family's 1533-position model. The record is from RNAcentral.
GACGAACGCUGGCGGCGUGCUUAACACAUGCAAGUCGAACGGAAAGGCCCUGCUUUUGUGGGGUGCUCGAGUGGCGAACGGGUGAGUAACACGUGAGUAACCUGCCCUUGACUUUGGGAUAACUUCAGGAAACUGGGGCUAAUACCGGAUAGGAGCUCCUGCUGCAUGGUGGGGGUUGGAAAGUUUCGGCGGUUGGGGAUGGACUCGCGGCUUAUCAGCUUGUUGGUGGGGUGGUGGCUUACCAAGGCUUUGACGGGUAGCCGGCCUGAGAGGGUGACCGGCCACAUUGGGACUGAGAUACGGCCCAGACUCCUACGGGAGGCAGCAGUGGGGAAUAUUGCACAAUGGGCGGAAGCCUGAUGCAGCAACGCCGCGUGCGGGAUGACGGCCUUCGGGUUGUAAACCACUUUCGCCUGUGACGAAGCGUGAGUGACGGUAAUGGGUAAAGAAGCACCGGCUAACUACGUG